Molecule: long non-coding RNA, 882 nt
Organism: Gorilla gorilla gorilla (western lowland gorilla)
Lineage: Eukaryota; Metazoa; Chordata; Mammalia; Primates; Hominidae
Exons: 4
Source: RefSeq, a predicted model, not a curated record
CCCAACACUCAGUUUCAUUUAUUAGAAACAUCUUACAUUAGUUUGGGACAUUUGUUGCGAUUAAUGACCCAAUACUGACACAUUAUUAUUAACUAAAUUCCAUACUUUUUUCAGAUUUCCUUUGUUUUCACCUAGUGUUCUUUUUCUGUUCUAGGAUCCAAUCCAGGAUAAUUUAUUACAAUUUAUUUGUCAUAUCUCCUUAGAUUCUUCUUGGCUAUCACAGUUUCUCAGACUUUAUUUUUCAUGACUUUGGCAGCUUUGAGGAGCACUGGCCAGAUGGUGAGAACUGGUCUGAAUGUACAAUUCAGUCUUAGUGUUUUCCAUCAAGGUGUCACCAAUCUUCCAGUCUCCCAGGCAGAAGUCUUUGAGAGCUUCAACCAGCACUACUACUUGAGGACCUAUACAGUGUUUGUCUGUGAGCAUGGAAUGACUCAUACUGGCAUCAGAGUUAGGGACUCACUUUAAAGGAAAGGGGAUGCAGUAGUGGGCAUAUGACUAAGAAAUCCACCGAUCCUCUCAUAUACUGCACCACCAGAAGCUGCUGGAUUAGCAGAGCAAAGGUCACACAACGUUUUCCUGAAUCGGAUUCUGGGUUAAAGCUGCCAGUAGGAAGAAUUCACAUGAGAUUUGAAAGGUGGAAGAGAAGGAGAAGGUGUUUUUUUCUUGAAACAGUUUGGCUGGGGAGCUGAGAUCUUCACUGAGGGCUUCCUUUGGCUCCGGGUUCCUGUGGACAGGCAGCCGAUGUCAUCAGUGGUGGCUUCUCUGUGAUCACUAUACCACCAGGUCUCCUAAAGUGGCCUUCUUGACCUUUGCUUCCCCAGCUCUUUCAAUGGUUAUGUGAAACUCUAAUUAUGUACAUUAAAUAUCUUUCAGCUCAAAAUA